Molecule: ribosomal RNA, 690 nt
Filed under: Vibrio sp.
Lineage: Bacteria; Pseudomonadati; Pseudomonadota; Gammaproteobacteria; Vibrionales; Vibrionaceae
Description: bacterial SSU rRNA
Rfam family: Bacterial small subunit ribosomal RNA
Source: RNAcentral
AGGCAGCAGUGGGGAAUAUUGCACAAUGGGCGCAAGCCUGAUGCAGCCAUGCCGCGUGUGUGAAGAAGGCCUUCGGGUUGUAAAGCACUUUCAGUCGUGAGGAAGGUGGUGUAGUUAAUAGCUGCAUCAUUUGACGUUAGCGACAGAAGAAGCACCGGCUAACUCCGUGCCAGCAGCCGCGGUAAUACGGAGGGUGCGAGCGUUAAUCGGAAUUACUGGGCGUAAAGCGCAUGCAGGUGGUUAGUUAAGUCAGAUGUGAAAGCCCGGGGCUCAACCUCGGAACUGCAUUUGAAACUGGCUGACUAGAGUACUGUAGAGGGGGGUAGAAUUUCAGGUGUAGCGGUGAAAUGCGUAGAGAUCUGAAGGAAUACCGGUGGCGAAGGCGGCCCCCUGGACAGAUACUGACACUCAGAUGCGAAAGCGUGGGGAGCAAACAGGAUUAGAUACCCUGGUAGUCCACGCCGUAAACGAUGUCUACUUGGAGGUUGUGGCCUUGAGCCGUGGCUUUCGGAGCUAACGCGUUAAGUAGACCGCCUGGGGAGUACGGUCGCAAGAUUAAAACUCAAAUGAAUUGACGGGGGCCCGCACAAGCGGUGGAGCAUGUGGUUUAAUUCGAUGCAACGCGAAGAACCUUACCUACUCUUGACAUCCAGAGAACUUAGCAGAGAUGCUUUGGUGCCUUCGGGAACU